UCAGGAUGAACGCUAGCUACAGGCUUAACACAUGCAAGUCGAGGGGCAGCAUGAAGUUUGCUUGCAAACUUGAUGGCGACCGGCGCACGGGUGAGUAACGCGUAUCCAACCUUCCCUAUACUAGAGGAUAGCCCGGCGAAAGUCGGAUUAAUACUCUAUGUUCUUCGUAGAAGACAUCUGAAAUGAAGCAAAGGUUUACCGGUAUAGGAUGGGGAUGCGUCUGAUUAGGUUGUUGGCGGGGUAACGGCCCACCAAGCCCACGAUCAGUAGGGGUUCUGAGAGGAAGGUCCCCCCACAUUGGAACUGAGACACGGUCCAAACUCCUACGGGAGGCAGCAGUGAGGAAUAUUGGUCAAUGGACGAGAGUCUGAACCAGCCAAGUAGCGUGCAGGAUGACGGCCCUAUGGGUUGUAAACUGCUUUUAUACAGGGAUAAAGUGACGUACGUGUACGUUUUUGUAGGUACUGUAUGAAUAAGGACCGGCUAAUUCCGUGCCAGCAGCCGC
Molecule: ribosomal RNA, 505 nt
Filed under: uncultured bacterium
Lineage: Bacteria
Description: bacterial SSU rRNA
Rfam family: Bacterial small subunit ribosomal RNA
Source: RNAcentral